UCAAUGUUAAUCUCGUACUUGGGGCGCACAAACGGGUGUUCGUCACUCAAUCCGCCUAGGGAAGGUCUGAGUAAAGGCUCAUGUGCUCUAACACAUUCUAGCCGGAUGCUUCCCUCAUAGGGAAGGCGAGGGUACCAGAAAUCUAGAGCAAUGCUUAGCUUAUGAUGUCAACACAGGGGUGCUUGGUGGAGGCACAGGCAUUGGGUCUAUUGAAACCUCUUGUAGCCAGCAAUUUUAGUUCAAUCUACGAGAUGACCAAGGUCACAACUCAAUUCAGACUAGUCUUUCAUUGG
Molecule: non-coding RNA, 293 nt
Organism: Papilio machaon (common yellow swallowtail)
Lineage: Eukaryota; Metazoa; Arthropoda; Insecta; Lepidoptera; Papilionidae
Source: Rfam